AACGAGGUGCCAGAUGACUCCACCUCCUGCCCUGCCUUUCUGUUUAAUGCAGUGUUUCCCUCUUGUCACCCAGGCUGGAGUGCAAUGGUGCAAUCUUGGCUUAUUGCAACAUCUGCCUCCUCGGUUCAAGCAAUUGUCCUGCCGCAGAGUCCCCAGGAGCUGAAGUUGCAGGUGUCCAGGCCACCAUGUCCAGCUAACUUUCUGGUGGAGGGCAAAGGUGUGAUCUUGGCUUGUUGCAACAUCUGCCUCCCUGGUUCAAGUGAUUGUCCUGCCACAGCCUCCCAAGUAGCUGGGGUGCAAGUGUCCACACCACCACGUCCAGGUUUCACCAUGUUCGUCGGGCCGGUCUCGAACACACAACCUCGGGUGAUCCACCCACCUUGGUCUUCAAAGCGCUUGGAUGACAGGUUCACGUGAGCAGCCAUGCCCGAACGGCCAACUUUAUUGUUAUAAAAGAAAUCACAGAGACUGCUCCAGGUGCUGUAACCCACGCCAGAAAUCCUAGCAAUUUGGGAGGCCGAGGUGGGAGGGUCACCUGAGGUCAGGAGUUCGAGGUCAGCCUGGGCAUCCAGGGGAAAACCCACCUCAUUUAAAAAAAGAGAAAAAGAAAAAGAAAAAGAAUCAGACAGAUCAGUGCAUACAAUUGUAAAAAACGAGGCGCCAGAUAACUCCACCUC
Molecule: long non-coding RNA, 677 nt
Filed under: Callithrix jacchus (white-tufted-ear marmoset)
Lineage: Eukaryota; Metazoa; Chordata; Mammalia; Primates; Cebidae
Description: lncRNA (ENSCJAG00000084974.1)
Source: RNAcentral